Molecule: long non-coding RNA, 7554 nt
Organism: Hypanus sabinus (Atlantic stingray)
Lineage: Eukaryota; Metazoa; Chordata; Chondrichthyes; Myliobatiformes; Dasyatidae
Exons: 2
Source: RefSeq, a predicted model, not a curated record
UUCAAAGUAAAGUUUAUGUCAUACUCAGCCAAUCUGUACAAUAUUACAGGGUCAAUGAAAGAUCAACCAGAGUGCAGAAAACAACAAACUGUGCAAACGCGAAUAUGAAUAAAUAGCAAAAGACAAUGAGAUAAUGAUAAUAAUAUGUCCUUGGUGGUGGGUAGGCUGGUGCCGAUGAUGCCUUGGGCAGUUCUGACUACCCGAUGCAGAUCCCUCCUGUCCGUAUCAUGCCGCUUGUUAGGAUGCUCUCUAUCUGUACAAUGAUGGGAGUGUAGAUGUGCACAGCCCAGCACCCUUCAGCCCCCUCGGAGAGUCGAGGUUUCCUGAUUGUGUAGAAUAUGCUCAGGGACUAUGAGAAGUUCUGCCCGUUCUGGUUGACUGUCAGUAACUAGUGGUGUUUUAUGUCUGUAUUGGGAACGCUACUUUUCUCAUUGUUUGUCAAUGAUUUAGAUAAUGGAAUUGAUGGCUUCGUGGCAAAGUUUGCAGAUGAUAAGAUAGGUGGAUGGGUAGGUAGUGCUGAGGAAGCAAUGCGAUUGCAGCAGGACUUAGACAAAUUGGAAGAAUGGGCAAAAGAGUGGCAGAUAGAAUACAGUGUGGGGAAGUGUAUGAUAAUGUAUUUUGGUAAAAGGAACAGGCUGUUAUCUAAAUGGGGAGAAGGUUCAAACAUCAGAGAUGCAAAGGGACUUGGGAGUCCUCGUGCAAGACUCCCGGAAGGUUAAUUUACAGGUUGAGUCUGUGAUAAAGAAGGAAAAUGCAAUGUUGGCAUUCAUUUCAAGGGGAAUAGAAUAUAAAAGCAAGGAGAUAAUUCUGAGCCUUUAUAAGACACUAGUCAGGCCGCACUUGAAUAUUGUCAUCAGUUUUGGGCCCCAUAUUUCAGAAAGGAUGUGUUGUCAUUGGAGAGAGUCCAGAGGAGGUUCAAGAGGAUGAUUCUGGGAUUGAAGGGGCUUACAUAUGAUGAGUGUAGCAGCUUUGGGCCUGUAUUCACUGGAAUUUAGAAGAAUGUGUGGGCAUCUCAUUGAAACCUACUGAAUGUUGAAAGGACUACACAGGGUGGAUGUGGAGAAGAUGUUUCCUGUGGUGGAGGUAUCCAGAAUUAGAGGGCACAGCCUCAAAUUUGAAGGGUAACCCUUUAGAACAGAGGUAAGGAGGAAUUGUUUUAACCAGAGUAGUGAAUCUAUGGAAGGCUCUGCCACAGACUGUGGUGGAGGCUGGGACCAUGGGUAUAUAUAAUCUGGAUUCAGUGAGAGGGCAGGUGUAUGGGAUCCGGGAUCAGCCAUGGUGAAAUGACAGAGCAGAUUCGAUGGGCUGAAAGGACUAAUUCUGCUCCUCUGUCUUUCAGUCUUAUCAGUUAGUGUGAGACUAUUACAGCCUGGGGCAACGGAGUUCAGAGUUCAAUUCAAGCGCCCUCUGUGAGGAGGUCUCUACAUUCUUCCCAAGUACUCAUGGGUUUCCUCCCACGUACCAGUUAGUAGGUUAGUUGGUCACUGUAAAUUGUCUGGGACUUGGGCCUGGGUCAGAUAGGUGGGUUGCUGGGCUGGAUAAGCCUAUUCCAUGUAGUAUUUCUCAACAAAAUUCAUUAAAUAAAUCAUUAGGUGAAUGAAUAAAUGAAUAUUUUUAAAGAAUUAGUUCAGUUCUGUUGUGUGUGGGAAGGGUUGGCAGGAAUCGGGACAGCGACCAAUGGGAGGGGAAUGAGAAACCAUCAGGAAUAGUGAAUCAGGAUUAUUGGGGUUUUAUUCUAGAUCAGUGGUUCCAACCUUUUUUAUAUCUUGGAGCCUUACCAUUAACCGAGGGGUCUGUAGGCCCCAGGCUGGGACCACCAGAUAGAGAUGGUUACGAUGAGGGUGUUCAUCAAUUUCUCCCUCUGGCCUCUACUCACCUGUCCUGGUGCCCCGCCCUUCCCUUUCUCCCAUGAUCCACUGCCCUCUCCUAUCAGAUAAUUCCUUCUUCAGCCCUUUACCUUUUCUACCAAUCACCUCCCAACUUCUCACUUCAUUCCCCUCAUCUGGUCUCACCUAUCACCUGCUGGCUUGUCCUCCUUUCCCUCCCCUGCAUCUUAUUCUGGCAUCUUCUCAAAUAGCCUCUGACAACCAAGUCCAGCUCCUGGCCUUUAUAUGCGGCUUAGCUAUUAAGCCCAGUGACUCCAUUUCUCUGAUGGGAGAGGAAGCAAGGGUGGGUUACUGGUGCCUUCAAACUAGUUGCUUCGGGCUGUGGUUGGCAGCUCAUCGAGGAGAAGGAAAUUGAAGAGGCAACCUUUUAGAACAGAGGUAAGGAGGAAUCCAAGCUCAAACCUGUGCUACUGAAGCUGUACCUGUUGUGUAUUUAGUCAAAGCAUUCUUGGUUUAAAUGAUCAUUAUGGGUUACGUAUGGAAAUUGCAUACAUCGUGACACUCCAGGAGAAGGAAGUCUGAUCUCAAAUCCUCACUGCUUUGCGGCUAUACCCACACAGGAGAACGCCAGGGAGAAAUUCAGGACUGGGGUCCCUAAGACAGUCCUACAUUAAGUUCAACACUGGCAACUCCCGCGAUGCCUCUGGUGCCAAACUGUAUCGGUCUCUGCCUUUAAUUGGAUUAAUCAGCUGCAUGGAGAGGGGGAGCCUGCUGCAUGGGAACAGCUUGCUCUUCAUAUUACACUGCCCUGGCCUGUGUGUCCUGGGACGCCACAUCCACGGUCGGCCCUGACCAGCAGACAAUCUCUGUAUGUGACAUUCCUCGGACAAACAAGUGUAGCGUCUGUGAUUAAAUUCGUUAACACCAACGUCUCUCCCACCAGGACAGGGUCUCCUCCCACCCCAGGACAGGUUUUCUCCUCCCCCUUCACCAGGACCUGGGUUCGAUUCCCAUCGCACGGUAGUGUAGUGGUUAGCACAACGUUUACAGUACCAGUGACCCGGGUCCAAUUCCCAUCACACGGUAGUGUAGUGGUUAGCACAACGUUUUACAGUACCAGAGACCCGGGUUUGAUUCACAUCACACGGUAGUGUAGUGGUUAGCACAACGUUUACAGUACCAGUGACCCGGGUUCAAUUCCCAUCACACGGUAGUGUAGUGGUUAGCACAACGUUUUACAGUACCAGAGACCCGGGUUUGAUUCACAUCACACGGUAGUGUAGUGAUUAACACAACGUUUUACAAUACCAGUGACCCGGGUUCGAUUCCCAUCACACGGUAGUGUAGUGGUUAGCACAAUGUUUACAGUACCAGUGACCCGGGUUCAAUUCCCAUCACACGGUAGUGUAGUGAUUAACACAACGUUUACAGUACCAGUGACCCGGGUUUGAUUCCCAUCACACGGUAGUGUAGUGGUUAGCACAAUGUUUACAGUACCAGUGACCCGGGUUCAAUUCCCAUCACACGGUAGUGUAGUGGUUAACACAACGUUUACAGUCCCAGAGACCCGGGUUUGAUUCACAUCACACGGUAGUGUAGUGAUUAGCACAACACUUUACAGUACCAGAGACCCGGGUUCGAUUCCCAUCACACGGUAGUGUAGUGAUUAACACAACGUUUACAGUACCAGUGAUCUGGGUUCAAUUCCCAUCACACGGUAGUGUAGUGAUUAACACAACGUUUACAGUCCCAGUGACCUGGGUUCAAUUCCCAUCACACGGUAGUGUAGUGGUUAGCACAACGUUUACAGUCCCAGUGACCUGGGUUCAAUUCCCAUCACACGGUAGUGUAGUGGUUAGCACAACACUUUACAGUACCAGUGACCCGGGUUCAAUUCCCAUCACACGGUAGUGUAGUGGUUAACACAACGUUUACAGUCCCAGUGACCUGGGUUCAAUUCCCAUCACACGGUAGUGUAGUGGUUAGCACAACACUUUACAGUACCAGAGACCCGGGUUUGAUUCACAUCACACGGUAGUGUAGUGGUUAACACAACGUUUUACAGUACCAGUGACCCGGGUUCAAUUCCCACUACUCUCUGUAAGGAGUUUGUACAUUUCCCCAUGACCACGUGGGUUUCCUCCGGGUGAUCCGAUUUGUUCCCUCGUACCAGUUUGUAGGUUACUUGGUCAUUGUCAAUUGUCCUGUGAAGGAUAGGAUUAAAUCAGGGUAUUGGUGGGCUGCCUAUCUCAAUAAAUAAACAAACGAACUCCGGCGGUGUGAGGUACCCACCCCCUUCAAGCAGACUUCAAACAUACCAGCGCCCAAGAAGAGCGUGAUAACCUGUCUGAACGACUGCAACCCAGUGGCACUCACAUCCACGAUGAUCGGUGAUCCACAUGUCAGAUCCCGUCUGAAUUGGAUCCACUCCAAUUCACCUCCCGAAGCAACAGGUCUACAGCAGAUGCCAUCUCAUUGACUCUUCACUCAACCCUGGGACACCUGGACAUCAAAGAUGCAACACCAGGAUGCUCUUUAUCGAUUACAGCUCAGCAUUUAACACCAUCUUCCCCUCAAAACUAAUCAGUAAAUCCCAAGACCUGGGCCUCAAAAUACCCCCUUGUGCAACUGGAUCCUGGAUUUCCGCAUCUGUAGACCCCGAUCAGAUCGGAUUGACAAAAACAUCUCCUCCACAAUUUCAUCAGCGCAGGAGCACCACAAGGAUGUGUGCUUAGCCCCUGCUCUACUCGCUUUACACUUAUGACUGUGUGGCUGAGCACAACUUGAAUACCAUAUACAGGUUUGCUGAUGACACCACUGUUGUGGGCCGCUUCAAAGGGGGAUAAUGAAUCAACAUACAGGACACAGAUUGAAAAUUUAGCUGAGUGGUGUCGUAACAACCUCUCACUCAAUGUCAACAAGACCAAGGAACUGAUUGUAGACUUCAAGAGAAGGAAACCAGAGGUCCACUAGCCGGUAAUCAUUGGAGAUGGUCAGUAACUUUAAAUUCCUGGCUCUCACGAUCUCAGAGACCUGUCCUGGACCCAUCAUAUAAAUAUAAUUGCAAAGAAAGCACACAGCACCCACUACUUCCUCAGGAGUCUACGGUGAUUCAGCGUGUGAUCAAAACCUUGGCAAACUUCAUCAGAUGUGUGGUGGGAAGUGUGCUGACCGGCCGCGUAUGGAAUGCCUUUGAGCGGAAAUCCUACAGAAGGUAGUGGAUCCAGACCAGUACAUCACGGGUAAAACCCUCCCAACCAUUCAGCAUCUGCAUGAACCGUUGCCGUAGAUAAGCAGCAUCCAUCAUCGGAGACUCACCACCCAGGCCGUGCUCUCUCCUCACUGCUGUCUGCCACCCAGCAGAAGCACAGGAGCCUCAAGACCAGCUCCACCAGGUUCAACAACAGUUACCACCCCUCAAUCAUCAGGCUCUUGAACAAAAGGGGAUAACUAUGCUCAUUUAAGGACUCUGUUAUGUUGUUUAUUCAUUUUGGUUAUAUAUUGCUAUUAAUUUAUUCUCUGCAUUUGCACAGUUUGUACACUGUUUACAGAUCCAGAUGUUUACUGUUUACAGAUCUUGUUUACAGUUACUGUUCUAUACAUUUGUUAAGUAUGCCCACAGAAAAAGAACCCCAGGGUUGUAUGUGGUGAUGUGUAUGUACUCUGAUAAUAAAUUUCACUUUGAACUUUGAGAUAAUAAGAACAGCUGGUCACAGAAACUGGUGGUGUAACAAUAUUCAUUUUUAUUCCUGGAUUUUUGUGAUAUUUUGAUUUCAGGAAGUUGUUAACAAAAUUCUCGUGCACAGAAAAAAGCCUUUGUCUGUUUUGUUCUGUACACUUUGUCAGAAUAAAGAGGAGAUGGGGGGGGGUGAUUGAAGAACAGUUAAUAAUCUCCACCACAUUCACUCGUUGUCAGGAUGGAGUCAGUCAGGAUGAGACUCUCACUACCCCUCAGAGAAGAUUCACAUGAAUCAUCCUGGUAAUGAAAGGGUUAACAUUUGAGGAGCAUUUGAUGGCUCAGGACCUGCACUCAUUGGAGUUGAGAAAAAUCAGGGGAGAUCACAUUGAAACCUAUUGAAUACUGAAAGGCUGAGACAGAGAGGAUGUUUCCUGUAGUGGGGGAGUCUAGGACCAGAGGACACAGAUAGUGGAUGUAGAGAGGAUGUUUCCUAUAGUGGGGGAGUCAAGGACCAGACACAGAUAGAGUGGAUGUGAUGUUUCCUAUAGUGGGGGAGACUAGGACCAGAGGACACAGAUAGAGUGGAUGUGGAGAGGAUGUUUCCAAUAGUGGGGGAGUCUAGGACCAGAGGACACAGAUAGAGUGGAUGUGGAGAGGAUGUUUCCUAUAGUGGGGGUGACUCGGACCAGAGGACACAGAUAGAGUGGAUGUGGAGAUGAUGUUUCCUAUAGUGGGGGAGUCUAGGACCAGAGGACACAGAUAGAGUGGAUGCGGAGAGGAUGUUUCCUAUAGUGGGUGAGUCGUGGACCAGAGGACACAGAUAGAAUGGAUGUGGAGAGGAUGUUUCCUACAGUGGGGGAGACUAGGACCAGAGGACACAGAUAGAGUGGAUAUGGAGAGGAUGUUUCCUAUAGUGGGGGAGUCUAGGACCAGAGGACACAGAUAGAAUGGAUGUGGAGAGGAUGUUUCCUACAGUGGGGGAGACUAGGACCAGAGGACACAGAUAGAAUGGAUGUGGAGAGGAUGUUUCCUACAGUGGGGGAGACUAGGACCAGAGGACACAGAUAGAGUGGAUAUGGAGAGGAUGUUUCCUAUAGUGGGGGAGUCUAGGACCAGAGGACACAGAUAGUGGAUAUGGAGAGGAUGUUUCCUAUAGUGGGGGAAUUUAGGACCAGAGGACACAACCUCAGAAUAGAGGGAUGUCCAUUUAGAACCGAGAUGAGCCGGGGGUAGUGAAUCUGAGGAACUCAUUGACACUGCCUUCUGUGGAGGCCAGGUCAUUGGUAUGUUUAAAGCAGAGGUUGAUAGGUUCUUGAGUAGGCACAGCAUCAAAGAUUACAGGGAGAAGGCAGGAGAAUAGGGUUAAGAGGGAUAGUAAAUCAGCCGUGAGGGAAUGGUGAAGCAGACUCAAUGGGCUGAAUGGCCUAAUUGUGCUCCAAUGUCUUGUGGUCUUAACUCAUGAAUUCUAUUUCUAGACUCACACAAACUCAGUGGGAAAGCCUGCUUACAUUUACCCCUCAUAAUUCCACACACCCCUAUCAAACCUCCCCUCAUUCUCCUACGCUCGAGGGAAUAAAGUCCCGACCUAUUCAACCUUUCCCUAUAACUCAGGUUCUCCAGUCCCAGCAACGAUCUUGUCAAAUUUCUCUGCACUCUUGCAAUCUCAUUUACAUCUUUCCUGUAGGUACUACUACUGUGUCGACGCUGGCCUAGGGGGCCGGCAUCACGCAUCCUGGAGGUAGGGCACCAGAAAUGCACACAAUCCUCCAGAAAGGCCUCAGCAUGGUCUUCAACAAAAUCUGCUGUCAGUAGGGGCACAAUUAAAACAUACCCCAUAACAUCAAACAGCAUGUCCACCCAGGUGAUGCCCUUAUCUCGUCACUACGGACCAUCGGGGGGAGGUACAGGAGCCUGAAGACACACACUCAAUCAUUCAGUAACAGCUUCUUCUCUGCCAUCAGGGAGGGGGUACAGGAGCCUGAAGACACACACUCAACAAUUCAGGAACAGCUUCUUCCCCUCUGCCACCAGGGGGACGAGGUACAGGAG